RNAcentral lists this unclassified non-coding RNA (243 nucleotides) under Hevea brasiliensis (rubber tree). The record is from RNAcentral. Lineage: Eukaryota; Viridiplantae; Streptophyta; Magnoliopsida; Malpighiales; Euphorbiaceae.
UCCAAUGGACAGAACCAUUGAGAAAAACCCGCAUCGAUAGUUCAGAUAUUACAUACUGAGGAGCAGCACUGAUUCUGAUGCUUCUCCAAGCAUCCAGGCUUAGCUCAUACACUUCAACCUGAGGUCUAAUAUCUACUUUACACUUGUCAUCCAUUACACGAUAUACAAUUCUCACGACUUUGUAUUCAUUGCUUUUAUCAUCACAUCCAAAUCCAAGAACAAACAUAUAGAUCUGGUGAAAAG